Molecule: ribosomal RNA, 253 nt
Filed under: uncultured bacterium
Lineage: Bacteria
Description: partial 16S ribosomal RNA
Rfam family: Bacterial small subunit ribosomal RNA
Source: RNAcentral
UACGUAGGCAGCAAGCGUUGUUCGGAAUUAUUGGGCGUAAAGAGUGUGUAGGCGGUGUCGUAAGUUUGGUGUGAAAUCUCCUGGCUUAACUGGGAGGGUGCGCCGAAAACUGCGGUACUUGAGGAGUGGAGAGGAAAGCGGAAUACCUGGUGUAGCGGUGAAAUGCGUAGAUAUCAGGUGGAACACCUGCGGUGUAGACGGCUUUCUGGACACUUUCUGACGCUGAGACACGAAAGCGUGGGUAGCAAACAGG